Molecule: long non-coding RNA, 304 nt
Organism: Cygnus olor (mute swan)
Lineage: Eukaryota; Metazoa; Chordata; Aves; Anseriformes; Anatidae
Exons: 3
Source: RefSeq, a predicted model, not a curated record
UGAAAACACCCAAGGUGCCUGGAAAGCCGGUCAUUUCCCCUGCAUCAGGAGACUAACCAAAUGUGGAGAGGCCGUCUCCUGGUUUACGAGAAAUCCUAGCAAGGAGAGCCACCCAGAACCAGGCUGGACCUACUCUUCCGACAGCUCAUGAAGAAUUUUGGAGCCCUGGAGUAUUAGGAGCUGUAUUGCCCAGACACAGAAGCUAGAUCUGAAGGGAUGUCUAAAAGAAGAAUGAACAAGCUGACCUUAAAGAGAAAGCCGGGUGGCAUGGCAGAAGCUGCAUCUUCUGAUGAAACAUGCUGAU